CGACAAGGUUUCCGUAGGUGAACCUGCGGAAGGAUCAUUAUUGAAUUAAAUGUGGAGUUGGUUGUAGCUGGCCUUGAUUCAUUUUCUAGGCAUGUGCACACCUUCUCUUUCAUCCACACACACCUGUGCACCUGUGAGACAGUUGGGGUGGGAGGACUUUAUUGGACUCUCUCUCCCUCUCUGUCUACUCAAUUUUUACACAAACUCAAUUUAUUUUAAAAUGAAUGUCAUUGAUGUAACGCAUCUAAUACUAAGUUUCAACAACGGAUCUCUUGGCUCUCGCAUCGAUGAAGAACGCAGCGAAAUGCGAUAAGUAAUGUGAAUUGCAGAAUUCAGUGAAUCAUCGAAUCUUUGAACGCACCUUGCGCUCCUUGGUAUUCCUUGGAGCAUGCCUGUUUGAGUAUCAUGAAAUCUUCAAAGUGAAUCUUUUGUUAAUUGAAUCGGUUCUACUUUGGUAUUUGGAGGUCUUUUGCAGCUUCACACCUGCUCCUCUUUGUGCAUUAGCUGGAUCUCAGUGUUAUGCUUGGUUCCACUCAGCGUGAUAAGUUAUCUAUCGCUGAGGACACUGUAAAAAGGUGGCCAAGGUAAAUACAGAUGAACCGCUUCUAAUAGUCCAUUGACUUGGACAAAUCCAUUUAUGAUCUGAUCUCAAAUCAGGUAGGACUACCCGCUGAACUUAAGCAUAC
RNAcentral lists this ribosomal RNA (686 nucleotides) under Rhizoctonia solani. RNAcentral's name for it is "eukaryotic LSU rRNA". The stretch from base 253 to 406 matches the Rfam family "5.8S ribosomal RNA". Lineage: Eukaryota; Fungi; Basidiomycota; Agaricomycetes; Cantharellales; Ceratobasidiaceae. The record is from RNAcentral.